Nicotiana tabacum (common tobacco) is the source of this 1042-nucleotide long non-coding RNA. RefSeq lists it as uncharacterized. Lineage: Eukaryota; Viridiplantae; Streptophyta; Magnoliopsida; Solanales; Solanaceae. The record is from RefSeq and is a predicted model, not a curated record.
GACCUAGACUCUACACAUAACAAUCCGCCGAUUUUUGCUUCAGAAAUCAAGAGAAAAAUACAAAAAAAAGAUAGACCUAAGACUAAGCUAAGACCGACCGUUUUCUGAAUGGGGAAUACACAGUAGACCAUUAGCUCAUCUUCUCCAUUAGAGAUAAUACCUAAACAGACCUAUACGCAUAAAGCUAAGAUCGGCUGUUUCUAUUUUUGGAAGCUAAGCUUCAUCUUCUCCAUGAAGAGAAGCAAAAAAAACAACCCUAGAAAACUUUCAGAAAAACAGCCACAAGAACUAAAGAAUGACCCCCCUAAGCUCAUCUCCUUCGACAACAGCCCCUCCAUAGCAGCCCAACGCCGCCGGCACAUCUCCUCUCAAAACGACUAGCCACCACAACAACCAGCCUCUUCUGCCAUCUCCAUAACCAGCUCCACCGGCGAGACUGUCGUUCUCACCUCGUUCCUGUUUCUCUCUCCCUCACCUUGCUCUUUCUUUCACUCCUCUCGCUGAUGCGAUGAAACUCGCCGGAAGUCAGCGAGCUUGCAGCUCCUGUUUUGAUGAGAAGUGACUUUCCGGUGACCAUCAUUGAAACCGGCGAACGCACACCACAACUGUUUCAAAGCCAUAGAUUCCAUUUUUGAAGCUCGUUUGGAGAGUUGUUUGGAGCUGAGAUGUUGGAAGCAAUUUGAAGUCGUCGUUCAGUUCCGUUCGAGAUUCCGGCGAGGUUCCGGCACUGCUGCGUUUUCUAUUUGAUUUCAGCUUCUAUUUGGCUUCUCCUUAUUGCUUUGCUUACUCAAGAGGUGUGAGUCUAUUUACCAGAGUUUGAGUAUGGCAGACGCCCCAGGACCAUCCAAUCAGGAUCACUCAUUCAAGGGUUGCUUAAGGAGAUUUUUUUUUAUGUUUUGAGUCUGUUUUUCAUUUUAUGUCAUUUUUUACUUUCUAGUUUUGUACAGUAAUGUUGAGUCUUAUAUUAUUGUACUUUCUACUUUGGGUUUGAAAAAGUGUGUUGUAACUCAAAAAUAAAAAAAAAGAGGUUUUGCAUUUUAUA